GACGAACGCUGGCGGCGUGCCUAAUACAUGCAAGUCGAACGCACUCUCGUUUAGAUUGAAGGAGCUUGCUCCUGAUUGAUAAACAUUUGAGUGAGUGGCGGACGGGUGAGUAACACGUGGGUAACCUGCCCUAAAGUGGGGGAUAACAUUUGGAAACAGAUGCUAAUACCGCAUAAAACCUAACACCGCAUGGUGUAGGGUUGAAAGAUGGUUUCGGCUAUCACUUUAGGAUGGACCCGCGGUGCAUUAGUUAGUUGGUGAGGUAAAGGCUCACCAAGACCGUGAUGCAUAGCCGACCUGAGAGGGUAAUCGGCCACACUGGGACUGAGACACGGCCCAGACUCCUACGGGAGCAGCAGUAGGAAUCUUCCACAAUGGGACGAAAGUCUGAUGG
Molecule: ribosomal RNA, 394 nt
Filed under: uncultured bacterium
Lineage: Bacteria
Description: bacterial SSU rRNA
Rfam family: Bacterial small subunit ribosomal RNA
Source: RNAcentral